RNAcentral lists this transfer RNA (91 nucleotides) under Nicotiana sylvestris (wood tobacco). It matches the Rfam family "tRNA". From Rfam's summary of the family: Transfer RNA (tRNA) molecules are approximately 80 nucleotides in length. Their secondary structure includes four short double-helical elements and three loops (D, anti-codon, and T loops). The record is from Rfam by way of RNAcentral. RNAcentral also lists the same sequence under 1 other name. Lineage: Eukaryota; Viridiplantae; Streptophyta; Magnoliopsida; Solanales; Solanaceae.
CCGACCUUAGCUCAGUUGGUAGAGCGGAGUACUGUAGACAGUUAAUAGCUAGCUAAUCCUUAGGUCGCUGGUUCGAAUCCGGUAGGUUGGA